AUGAAGACUAUGUUCAUCCUCGCUCUCAUUGCCGCGGCGACCAGCGUCGUUGCGCAGCUGGACACUACAUGCAGCCAGGGCUAUGGGCAAUGCCAGCAGCAGCCGCAGCAGCAGGUGAACACAUGCUCUGCCCUCCUGCAGCAGUGUAGCCCGACACCAUAUGUCCAGUCACAGAUGUGGCGGGCAAGCGGUUGCCAGUUGAUGCGGCAACAGUGCUGCCAGCCGCUGGCCCAGAUCUCAGAGCAGGCUCGGUGCCAGGCUGUCUGCAGCGUGGCCCAGGUCAUCAUGCGACAGCAGCAAGGGCAAAGUUUCGGUCAGCCUCAGCAACAAGUGCAAAGUUUCAGCCAGCCUCAGCACCAGGUUCCGAUUGAGAUAACGAGGAUGGUGCUCCAGACCCUUCCAUCGAUGUGCAACGUGAACAUCCCGCAAUAUUGCACCACCACCCCAUGCAGGACCAUCACUCAGACCCCCUACAACAUCCCUAUGACCGCUACCUGUGUUGGUGGUACCUGCUAA
Molecule: ribosomal RNA, 516 nt
Filed under: Triticum aestivum (bread wheat)
Lineage: Eukaryota; Viridiplantae; Streptophyta; Magnoliopsida; Poales; Poaceae
Description: partial small subunit ribosomal RNA
Source: RNAcentral